Long non-coding RNA from Limulus polyphemus (Atlantic horseshoe crab), 630 nucleotides. RefSeq lists it as uncharacterized. The transcript has 2 exons. NCBI's taxonomy places the organism in Eukaryota, Metazoa, Arthropoda, Merostomata, Xiphosura, Limulidae. The record is from RefSeq and is a predicted model, not a curated record.
AGUAAGAUGGCGGCGAAAGCAGACGCCGAGUCGAUAAAGAAUGACAAUGCACUACAGUCUCGAUUUCCAACAAGUUAUAAAGGAAAUGUUGCUGUCCAACCAACUUAUGAAGAGGUAAGCGGCCAAACCCGAUGUUACUGUCAGGCGUUUUCAAGCUUUGUUAGAAGCGUCUUUUUCGAUGUGUAGCGGUAUAGAAGACGCAGUUUACAGCUCGAUAAAUUCAGAACACAGAUAGAGCCAGUUGUUUUCGUUGAUCGAACAACUUUUGAUAUGAAGUACAAACAUUAAAGUAAGCUCGUUACUAAAACUUAAAAAUAAAUAUGAUGCUUCAAGUGUUAUGUAAAUACUUAGGAUCUUUCAAAAGUAUGAAAUACUAUGUAUAAAUGAAAUGAUAUUAUUAUUAUUAUUAACCACAACAAAUAAUGAAUCUCAGAACUUAAAAUAGUGGGAUGUAAAUAAUACUAUAAACAUUAGUAAGUUUAUCAACAUUCUGAUCACAAGUUUUACUGACGCAUUCAUAAAAUUUGUUGUUUUAAAGUAAUACAUACAACUUUACUAUUUCUCUUUCUUUGUCAUUGUCAAUCGGGCCACAUUUCCAAGUACAUGUAUUAAAAUAUUUUUAUCUGUAAA